Sus scrofa (pig) is the source of this 2735-nucleotide non-coding RNA. The record is from RefSeq and is a predicted model, not a curated record. Lineage: Eukaryota; Metazoa; Chordata; Mammalia; Artiodactyla; Suidae.
CAAUCUUCUGCCUUCAUUAUUUUAUUUUAUAAAUUUAAGACAACUUUAGUUUCCUAUUCAAAUUCUUUUUAGAAAAAUUUCAGGGCCACUUAGGGUUAGAUGAUAAAUAGCUAGCAACAAUUAUUUUGAUGGCAGGCUUUAUUUUCUAAGCUUCUGGGAUAAAAAUGUAACAGGACAGUCUUCAGAGAGUGAAAACAGAAACAUUAGAUUUAGCUAGAAAUUCACAUCAUGGGAUUCUUGAGAGGAAGAGAUGUAAAUGAAUAGUAGACAUUUUGUAAAUAAGAUUGAUGAGGGGACUGAAUCUGGCACUACCAAGAAUAGAGAAACCUUAGGCAAAAUAUUGUAUAGACAAAUUCCACUUAAGACUGACAAAGCAGCCCUCUUUGUUCUCAGGUCCCUGCCAGGCCAUCCACCCCAACCGCUUCCUGCUGACCCUCCAAACACAAAGCUUUCUGUCCUAGGGGGAAGCCUUGGGCCUCUGUGGAUACACUUACUGGCUUUGUAGAUAAGCACCAUCAGGGCAAGAAUCCCAGCGAUCUUAUUCAACUCUCUAUGCCAUCUGACAUAAGUGGUAUUUAUUUGAUGUGUGAUUUAUUGACAAGGUAAAGAGGAAGAUUGAACUUGAGGACUUCCAGGUAAUAAAUAACUUUUAAGUGUUUCUUUGUGCUUCCCCACACCCAACCAGUUCAGAUAUUAUAGCAUGACUUAUAAAAGUAAUUGACUUCUUUUAUUAAUUAUUAUAAUUUCUGCCUGUUGGACUUGCCCAACAGCAGAGUAUUUAUUCUUUCAGUAUUGCCAUCUGUUCUUUAUGUGAUCACGGUCUACCUACUAUUGGUAACAUAAAGUUAGAUAGCUACAAAUGGCUUUUCACAGUGUCCUCAUAAAAUGCAGUUAUGAGUUUUAGGUUUCAUUGAGACACAGAAACAAAAAAUACUUUUGGUACAAAGGGAUUUCUGUUUCUCUCCAAUCUGUGAAUCAGCCUGAUUAAAAAACAAUAUAAUGGUGGUGAAAUGAAUAUAGUUAAUAGUUGUAUAUAUUACCAACCUCUUUCCUGCACAUUUCAUGGGUUAUUAGUCUAAUACUAAAUGUGCCCCUCCCAGCUUCCUAGGAAUACUGAUAGCAAAGCUUCAAGUUCAAGAGUAUUUGAGAAGGGUUGUGUGUAGGUAAACCAAGUUAAUGGGUCCGUAUGGUAUGUUUUGAUGAGCUUUUCUCUUAUUGGCCCUGAUGACCUAUUUGAAAUACUUACGCUUCUUGCAUAAAAAGUUCUCAAUCAUCCAUUAAAAUUUAAGUAUUCCUUGAAGGGUUACAUUAAGCUACUUUCAAUCACUGGAAUUAGUUUAUCAGAUUUUUUAAAGAUGAAUGCAUGUUCCUUGUUCAAAAAACAAAUUCAAAUAGUACAAAAGGUUUACAAAGAGAAAAGUUUCUUUCCCUAUUCAAAUUUCACUCUUUGAUAUCUUCUAGAAAUUUGCUUUGCAUAUGUAAGUACUUAGUUGCCAGUUUUUUUUUUCAAAUGGGACAAUCCAUAUAUUUAAAAGAUAAUAGUCUUUUCCCUUAUACCUGCCUCCUUUAUUUCACUCCUAGAGGAAACUGAUAUUAACAGCGUUUCUCAGUGCUCAGAUAAAAGCAAAUAUAAUGUCUGAUUUUGAAAAAUAAAAGGAUACUCUACCCAUUGUUUGGUGACUAUCUUCUCACAUAACAUUACAUGCCCACCCCUAAAGAGUAACAUGUAAACUUUUCCUUUUAACAGCUACACAAUACUGCUUAACAUGAAUGUACCAUAACUAAUUGCAACUACUAUAUUGUAAUAAGUAUAUAGUAGUCUUACAUGCUCAUGUUGUAUUUCAAUAAUAUGAAUUACCAAAAGUGAAAUCUGUGAUUAAAAGGGUAUGUGUAUAUUACAUUUUCAGUGAUAUGGUCAGAUUUCAAAAGUGUAGCAAUUCAUCCUUUAACUCCCAUCAACAAUGUCUGAGUGUUACCGUCCUUUCACAUCCUUGACAGCACUGGAUUUUAUCUUCUUUGUAAUUUGUCUACUGCUUUUACUUGUAUUUGCCCAGUAGGUUGAACAUUUUAAAAUGAGUAUUAGCCAAUUGAGUUUACUCUUUUAUGAAUUAACCAUUCAUAUCUUUUGUCAAUGUUUCUAUUGAGUUGCUUAUAUAUUAUUAUAAUUAAAUUUCUAGAAUUCGUUGUAUAUUGGUGGUAUAAUUGGUGGUAAUACAUGUUGCAAGUAUAUUUUCCUAGUCAGUGAUGAGAGAGGUGAUUUGACAUAGUGUUCAUUUUCUGGAGCCAAACUGUUUGAGUUCAAAGUCUAGGUUUAUUAUUUAUCCAUUAUAUUAUCUUGGACUAUAAAUUCACCAUCUGAAAUAUGGGGAAGAUAACAUUACUCAGUUCAUAAGAUAGGAUGAGGAAUAAAUGAAAGAAUAAAUGUAGAACAUGAGAAAGCACCUGGUGCACAGAAAGCGAGUACUUUUUAUUUGUUAGCAUAUUUAUCUAAUAUAUUUUGUUCUAAAAACCUUUUGAAUUGUUAUAUAGGAUCUAUGUUUAUUAGUUUGCUUAAUGGUUCCUGAAUUUCCUGUCUUGCUUGUGAAGAUUUCCUCUGCUUCAUGAUUAUGCAAACUAAUAGCCUGAUUUUUUCAGUUAAACUUAAAUCCAUAUGUAACUUAUUUAGUAUAUAGAGUGAAACAAAGAAUUCAUAAUUGAAUUUUUUCCUGGAUAAUUAGCCUACUAUAUUUACAGUA